Long non-coding RNA from Mustela erminea (ermine), 199 nucleotides. RefSeq lists it as uncharacterized. The record is from RefSeq and is a predicted model, not a curated record. The transcript is spliced from 3 exons. Lineage: Eukaryota; Metazoa; Chordata; Mammalia; Carnivora; Mustelidae.
GAUGUAGAUGGUUUAAAGUUAAGGGAGAUAAGUCGGUCAGAGAAAGAUAAAUAUCACAUGGUGUCACACGUACAUGGGAUUUAAGAAGCCAAACAAACACAGGAAAAAAAGAAAGACAAACCAAGAAACAGACUCUUAACUAUGGAGAACGAACUGAUGGUGACCAGAGAGAAGGUGGGGGUGGGGGCGGAGGAAAAAG